GACGAACGCUGGCGGCGUGCUUAACACAUGCAAGUCGAACGGAAAGGCCCUGCUUUUGUGGGGUGCUCGAGUGGCGAACGGGUGAGUAACACGUGAGUAACCUGCCCUUGACUUUGGGAUAACUUCAGGAAACUGGGGCUAAUACCGGAUAGGAGCUCCUGCUGCAUGGUGGGGGUUGGAAAGUUUCGGCGGUUGGGGAUGGACUCGCGGCUUAUCAGCUUGUUGGUGGGGUAGUGGCUUACCAAGGCUUUGACGGGUAGCCGGCCUGAGAGGGUGACCGGCCACAUUGGGACUGAGAUACGGCCCAGACUCCUACGGGAGGCAGCAGUGGGGAAUAUUGCACAAUGGGCGGAAGCCUGAUGCAGCAACGCCGCGUGCGGGAUGACGGCCUUCGGGUUGUAAACCGCUUUCGCCUGUGACGAAGCGUGAGUGACGGUAAUGGGUAAGAAGCACCGGCUAACUACGUGCCAGCAGCCGCGGUGAUACGUAGGGUGCGAGCGUUGUCCGGAUUUAUUGGGCGUAAAGGGCUCGUAGGUGGUUGAUCGCGUCGGAAGUGUAAUCUUGGGGCUUAACCCUGAGCGUGCUUUCGAUACGGGUUGACUUGAGGAAGGUAGGGGAGAAUGGAAUUCCUGGUGGAGCGGUGGAAUGCGCAGAUAUCAGGAGGAACACCAGUGGCGAAGGCGGUUCUCUGGGCCUUUCCUGACGCUGAGGGGCGAAAGCGUGGGGAGCGAACAGGCUUAGAUACCCUGGUAGUCCACGCUGUAAACGGUGGGUACUAGGUGUGGGGUCCAUUCCACGGGUUCCGUGCCGUAGCUAACGCUUUAAGUACCCCGCCUGGGGAGUACGGCCGCAAGGCUAAAACUCAAAGGAAUUGACGGGGCCCCGCACAAGCGGCGGAGCAUGCGGAUUAAUUCGAUGCAACGCGUAGAACCUUACCUGGGUUUGACAUGGAUCGGGAGUGCUCAGAGAUGGGUGUGCCUCUUUUGGGGUCGGUUCACAGGUGGUGCAUGGCUGUCGUCAGCUCGUGUCGUGAGAUGUUGGGUUAAGUCCCGCAACGAGCGCAACCCUUGUUCACUGUUGCCAGCACGUUAUGGUGGGGACUCAGUGGAGACCGCCGGGGUCAACUCGGAGGAAGGUGGGGAUGACGUCAAGUCAUCAUGCCCCUUAUGUCCAGGGCUUCACGCAUGCUACAAUGGCUGGUACAGAGAGUGGCGAGCCUGUGAGGGUGAGCGAAUCUCGGAAAGCCGGUCUCAGUUCGGAUUGGGGUCUGCAACUCGACCUCAUGAAGUCGGAGUCGCUAGUAAUCGCAGAUCAGCAACGCUGCGGUGAAUACGUUCCCGGG
RNAcentral lists this ribosomal RNA (1342 nucleotides) under uncultured bacterium. RNAcentral describes it as "16S ribosomal RNA". It matches the Rfam family "Bacterial small subunit ribosomal RNA", at positions 28 to 1378 of the family's 1533-position model. The record is from RNAcentral.